RNAcentral lists this ribosomal RNA (539 nucleotides) under uncultured Geobacteraceae bacterium. Its description in RNAcentral is "bacterial SSU rRNA". It matches the Rfam family "Bacterial small subunit ribosomal RNA", at positions 9 to 526 of the family's 1533-position model. The record is from RNAcentral. Lineage: Bacteria; Pseudomonadati; Thermodesulfobacteriota; Desulfuromonadia; Geobacterales; Geobacteraceae.
GAGUUUGAUCCUGGYUCAKAACGAACGCUGGCGGCGUGCUUAACACAUGCAAGUCGAACGUGAUCCGGAGCUUGCUCCGGUGAAAGUGGCGCACGGGUGAGUAACGCGUGGAUAAUCUGCCUUGGUAUCUGGGAUAACAUCUCGAAAGGGGUGCUAAUACCGGAUAAGCCCACGGGAUCCUCGGAUUCUGCGGGAAAAGGUGGCCUCUAUUUAUAAGCUACCGUAUCAGGAUGAGUCCGCGUACCAUUAGCUAGUUGGUGGGGUAAUGGCCUACCAAGGCGACGAUGGUUAGCUGGUCUGARAGGAUGAUCAGCCACACUGGAACUGARACACGGUCCAGACUCCUACGGGAGGCAGCAGUGGGGAAUUUUGCGCAAUGGGGGAAACCCUGACGCAGCAACGCCGCGUGGGUGAUGAAGGCUUUCGGGUCGUAAAGCUCUGUCAGAGGGGAAGAAAUGGGUCGUGCUAAUAUCGCGACUUCUUGACGGUACCCUCAAAGGAAGCACCGGCUAACUCCGUGCCAGCAGCCGCGGWAAUAC